AUCGAUUGAAAAAAGACUGGAACAGCCAUUGCAGUACAUUGAGCUCCACAGAGACAGCGCCGGGGCACAUGAGAGCCGGAUGGGCACUGGGCGACUCUGUGCCUCGCUGAGGAAAAAAUAAACAUGGGCAAAAGAGAUCCUAAGAAGCCGAGAGGCAAAAUGUCAUCAUAUGCAUUCUUUGUGCAAACUUGCCUGGAGGAGCACAAGAAGAAGCACCCCGAUGCUUCAGUCAGCUUCUCGGAGUUUUCUAAGAAGUGCUCAGAGAGGUGGAAGACCAUGUCUGCUAAAGAGAAAGGAAAAUUCGAAGACAUGGCAAAGGCGGACAAGGCCCAUUAUGAAAGAGAAAUGAAAACUUAUAUCCCUCCUAAAGGGGAAACAAAAAAGAAGUUCAAGGAUCCCAAUGCACCCAAGAGGCCUCCUUUGGCCUUUUUCUUGUUUUGUUCUGAAUAUUGUCCAAAAGUCAAAGGAGAAUAUCUUGGCCUAUCCAUUGGUGAUGUUGCAAAGAAACUGGGAGAGAUGUGGAAUAACACUGCUGCAGAUGACAAGGAAAAGUACGAAAAGGAUAUUGCUGCGUAUCGAGCAAAAGGGAAGCCUGAUGCAGCAAAAAAGGGAGUUGUCAAGGCUGAAAAAAGCAAGAAAAAGAAGGAAGAGGAAGAAGAUGAAGAAGAUGAUGAGGAUGAGGAGGAGGAGGAAGAUGAAGACGAAGAGGAAGAAGAUGAUAUGAUGAAUAAGUUGGUUCUAGUGCAGUUUUUUUUUCUUGUCUAUAAAGCAUUUAACCCCCCGUAUACAACUCCUUUUAAAGAAAAAAUUGAAAUGUAAGGCUGUGUAAGAUUUGUUUUUAAACUGUACAGUGUCUUUUUGUGUAUAGUUAACACACUACUGAAUGUGUCUUUAGAUAGCCCUGUCCUGGUGGUAUUUUCAGUAGCCACUAACCUUGCCUGGUACAGUAUGGGGGUUGUAAAUUGGCAUGGAAAUUUAAAGCAGGUUCUUGCUGGUGCACAGCACUAAUUUGUUAUAUAUGGGGAUAGUAGUUUUUUCAUCUUUAGUUGUCUCUGAUGCAGCUUAUACGAAAUAAGUGUUGUUCUGUUAACUGAAUACCACUCUGAAAUUGCGA
Molecule: RNA transcript, 1114 nt
Organism: Vicugna pacos (alpaca)
Lineage: Eukaryota; Metazoa; Chordata; Mammalia; Artiodactyla; Camelidae
Gene name: high mobility group protein B1 pseudogene
Source: RefSeq, a predicted model, not a curated record